This is a long non-coding RNA of Cyprinus carpio (common carp), 829 nucleotides long. The record is from Ensembl. NCBI's taxonomy places the organism in Eukaryota, Metazoa, Chordata, Actinopteri, Cypriniformes, Cyprinidae.
AUCUGUAUGACUUUCUGUCAUCUGUGGAACACACACAAAGAAAAAAAAAAAAACAUUAUUUUGAACUGUCACUUUAAGCUUCAUAUAAUAUUUGCUUUUUAUCUUUUAUCCUCAAAUGUCUGUUUGCUGUUCAGCAGAUUCUGAUCAAAUUUAUAACAACGUGACUGAAGUCAAUAAGAGAGACAAAGAUGAUCCAGAGCCCUUGGCAGAUGUCACAUAUUCGGAGGUCACUGUUAAGAAAAAGAUGGACAAAGGUAAUGCUAAGGCAGAGUCCAAUAAUGUGACAUACUCAGAAGUCGGAAAAAGAGGAAAGAAAUGCAAAAGUAAAGAUAUUAAUCCUGCAGGACCCAGUGAUUUGACUUACGCACAGAUCAAUAUACAGGACAAGAAGAAAACCAAAGGCAAAGGUCCCUGAGUGCAGAGAAGACACCAGACGGCUAAAAGAGAUUCACAGCAGCAGACACAGUAACACUUGCAUUGCUUAAGAAAUGAAUCUGAGUGAACUACUUAUGCACAUACUUUAUUAUAAUACUAUACAGAUAUUAUCAUAUUAUCUGUACACAUUAUGUAGGCAAACAGAUCUAUCUAUAUUAUAUAUUAAAUCAUUUUUCAUUUGUGCACUUUUGUUUAACAGCUUUAAGUGAAACUGCCCUUCAAGUUAUUACAUUAUUACAUGAUUCGACUGGAGCUGUACAGCAAUUAAACAGUAAUUGGUCACUCGUCUGAUAGUUAAAUAUAACAUGUUCUUUGUCUUAUAAAAUAAUGCCUGUGUUUUUACCAAAACUGAGGCUAAGAUGAUUGUUCUUGCAUACACAGUAUAUUCAUAAAU